AUCAUCCAGUUUUUUUCCAUUUGAAUGCAAUAGCUUUCUCCUUUCCUAUCAUUCUAGGAAAGUUAACCUCAGUAAUGCCUCUUUUACGUACCUGCCCUUCAUCACUAAUACUGCUCCUUACAUUUUGAAGAAUUAUAAAAACAGACAAAGUUUUGUAUCUACGUGUUGUUUAAAGGCAUUAACAUCAACAGAAGCACAGAAGAAGGCUGAACAACGCAAAAAGAUGACUACUUCUAAGCAUCCUGCAAUUUAAAUGAAAUGUAUUUAUUUCAUUUCAAUGCCAGGAAUUAAGCUUGGUUUAUCAGUAAGACCAGAUCACAAUAGCUGCAUUCACUCCUACUCAAUGUCAGAAUUGAGGGAGGGAAACGAGCAAAAAAGAAUGGGAAAAAGAUGUGUACAUGUGUGCAUACUCAGCGUAUGUUCUGAAAGACACUGCACUAGAGAUGGACACAAAACAGGAGAUGAACUCUUUUUUUUUCUUAAAAAAAAAAAAAAAAAGCUUGUAAUUUAAACCUAGAUCACAAUAGGAAUUUUAUGUCUGACUUUUCUACACUAAUGACUGAUAUGAAAAUGCAGACAUGUCACUGCAGAGAACAAAACUAAAAUCGGCCUUCAAAAAAAAAAA
Long non-coding RNA from Oxyura jamaicensis (ruddy duck), 625 nucleotides. RefSeq lists it as uncharacterized. The transcript is spliced from 2 exons. NCBI's taxonomy places the organism in Eukaryota, Metazoa, Chordata, Aves, Anseriformes, Anatidae. The record is from RefSeq and is a predicted model, not a curated record.